CCUCUCCCGAUUCUAACCAUAGAAAAUUUAUCAAAAUUGGACUUCGUUUGGUCCCUCAAAUCCUCACUUAAAAUUCUCCAAAACUCGAACCCUAAUUCCCUUAUUUUCACUUUGAAAUCAUCAAUUAAAUCCCAAACACGAAGAUGAAUUUAUGAAAUAUAACCAAAACGGAGUAGAGAAUACUUACCCCAAUCCAUAUGGUGAAAAUCUCUUCCAAAAUCUCCCAAAUCCGAG
RNAcentral lists this long non-coding RNA (234 nucleotides) under Nicotiana benthamiana. RNAcentral describes it as "long non-coding RNA (NBEN_LNC005266)". The record is from RNAcentral. Lineage: Eukaryota; Viridiplantae; Streptophyta; Magnoliopsida; Solanales; Solanaceae.